ACCCGACCUUCCCAUUUUUCUCAGAGGUUCAGUCAAAGUCAUGGACAAAUUCAUCGUAUCAUCCCUGUUCUAUGGCUUCUUUGCCAUUUAUAUACUAUCAGGAUGUCUUUGUCUUGGCGCAGAAAAUUCAGAAGACAUUAGGGAAAUCGAAUGCUUCAAUUGCACCUCCGACUUCCUGAAGAAUGGAGAACGUGAUCCAUGCAUACUUGGUACCAGAUCUCUUCGAAUAGAUAAAUGCAAGGGCAAGAAUAUGGCUUGUGUGAAGGUUUACACUAAAAUAUAUCAAAUCAACAAAGGAGGUGUAAAAUGGGAGGACUCGCCAACAGUUGUUUCAAGAUUCUGCGAUACCCCACUUGAGUACAAACUCGGCUGCACCGACUUCGAUGCAAAUAAAGGCACGCAGAAUAUUUGUUUUUGUGAUACAGAUAAAUGCAACGGAGCGAGUCACAUGACAUUAUCCGCUGGAUUUGUUCUCAUUGCAAGUUUGGUAGCUUUACUGAUGUUUUGAUGUGCAAUUUAGGAUUUGAAUUUAAUAGAUUUUUCUUCAAUGCAGGGAUCAUUCCUCUAGUUCAGUGCCUGUACCCUAAUCAUUUUGGUCUUGAAGAUUAUUCUGCAUUGCUAUGCAAAUUAUUUGAAGAUGAGCCAUUGUAACUUAGAAAAUGUUCACAGGUGUUCUAAUUUUGGGGUCAAACCUGAUUUGCAAAAUUAACAAGCUCAAAAUGUUAUUAACUUAAUAUAAGGACUGCAAGCAAGGUGACAGAAUAGAAGAGUGUAGUGCAAUAUGUACCCUCCUUGCUUUCAACAGACAGAUUGUGAUAAGGCUCAAGACUGGGAGUGACGGUCAAGUGUUUUGAAACAGUAAAGUAUAGUGGUACAUUAUAAAGCACUAUAAUAACUUAAAUGUCAUUUUAAUUUUACAUUUCAAUUUGAUCAUGCAUUUUGCAUAAUGGAUCUCAAAAUACUCGCAUGCAGAAUGUUGUGGUAAAAGAUAUGCAACCGCAAAAAUCAACUGCGAAUAUUUCCGAGUUACAGUGGUUACUUACAAUAGCUAGUUUCUCUCUAAAAAUUGCAAUUGAUAUGUUUGGUCUCUGUUAGCUCUUGAUCACCAUAUUUUACCUGUCUAUGUGUGAGUGUUGUGUUUCUGGAGACACUUGAUGGAUAAAAAUGAAACAGGAAUUAGUUAGGUCUAUUAUUUUAUUGCAAUGCUCAAUCUCGUCAUGAGAAUGAGAAGUGCAGUUCUCACCUUUGCAAACUUGGAUCGUGGUUUGUGCCAGAUAACAGUUAGAACAUCCAAUGCCGGCAUUGAUCAAUACUUGUCUUGGAUUUUGAUGCAUGGUCUGGUAUUAUUACCUUCUGCAUGGUUGUUCAACUCCGCCACAUGUUUUGAGUUCAGUUAACAACACAGAUGAGUUUUAUACAAUGUUAUGUACAUUUGCUUCAAUGGUUGACUUUCUAACAGUCGCUCAGUUCAGAAUUGAUAGAUCUUUUGUUCUUGUGAGCCACCAUUGCAUACGAUUACUACACAGAAUUGUUGUAUAGAUCUAACCAUGGCCUCUUUAGAUAUAAUCUUUGUCGAUGAUUUAUUGCAUGUGUGUACAUAAAUGCUAUGUAUCAUGACUUCUUAAUUGUACAUUAACUGUUAACUGGGAAAUAAUCAUGGUAUGUGGGCUAAAAUUUAUAAUUCUUGGGAGCAGAAAAAUUAGUAAAACGCCAUGAUAUUGGUAAGAAUUAUACAAUGUUGUAUCAAAAUUAUUCAAAACUGCCAGAGUCGCAAUUUCAUGAAUUUGAAAUCAUUAACUCUCUCUAGUAUCAUAUCUUUGAAUAUUUCUCGAUUUACAAAUUUGCUGAGAUAUCACUUCAUGUUGGGCCUUGGAGAAUUGGACUUGAUGUUUUUGUCAAAAACCUAUAAUCCAGGAUCACAGUACCGUAGUUUUAGACAUUGUACCUACCAGUAGUACCUGUUAUUGGAACUCUCUGGUUUGACUUGUUAGAACAUUUCAUAAUUACUGUACAUGUAGCUCAUGCAAUAUCACUAUUACUCAAGUGCAAUAUAAUCAAGUUUAAAAGUUCUGCCAUUACUUAGGUAAUUACAUUGUGUUCAUGUGUGUAUGAAAGUUAUCUAUGAUGUACACAUAGUAAGAUCUGAAUGAAGUUUUAUUUGAAGUGGUGCUUAGUAUGAAUUGGACUCCUUCCAUCCUUGAAUGGACCUCUAGGCCUGAAAUAGAAGUAUGGCUUGACAAGUGACUUCAGGAGCCAUUGCCCUGUGAAGAAGACUCUUGCAGCGCAAAUGUCUGAUUGAAACAGUAACAGCCAGCCAGGUAUCUUGUUUGAACUGUUUGACGAUGGAGGGUUGGCUUUAGACGGGUAAUACCAAAAAUAUAUACUGGUAUGCCCUCACUUUACAUGAUUCUGGUUAUGUAGAAAUAUCUUUGAGUUUUAAGCUGGGAGGACGACAAUCUCAUUAUUGGCAAAAAGAAUUGUGUUUUUCUUGAUUUGUCUGCGAAGUUCUUUUAUUUACGUCAUUUGAGCAAAGCAUUUUAUUUUGUGUUAGGCCUAUUAGUCAUUAUAUAUAUAUCACCAUAAUAUGAGACCACCGAAAAAGAUACUGUUUGCUACAUGUGUGUUUAAUAUCAUAAGCUGGAUAAUAUCAUGAGUUAUGUAUGUAAUAAGAGUUGGCAUUCAAACUGAAGUUCUUAGUUGUCAACCUGUUAAUACUCUGAUUUUACAACUGUAUAAACAUUCGGCUGCUGGGGAUAACUGUUACUAUGGAACACCACUCACCGAAUUCAAUGAACCUCAUAGUAAUUGUGCAAAUAAUCAAAAUGGUAGUAUUAAGUGCAAUGUUUGUUUUAUUUUGCAUGUACUGGGUAUUCACCGCAUUUACAAUCAUGUGACCCCUUGUCAGUGUUACUGUUAAACCUCUGGUACGAUCAGGUUCCUGAUGCAGCAGAGAACAACCUAGUCUGGGUAAUUACCUGUUUGUUGUCUCAGCAAACACUGCAAGAGUGGAGCACCUUUCCAAGCUUUUGGGUGAAAUGACAGGAGCCAACCAAUACCAUCAAUGAGGUAACAAUUUCUUGUUCUAAUCUAAAAGUAUUCUUCAAACUACAAACUACAAACAUUUUGAUAUGUUAUUUUCUCAAAAUAAGAGAUGCAUCUUUCUUGCCUCUCCGGGUAAUUCCCUAAACCAUGUUGCUGCCUGAGGAACUUUGGUUGCACAUAAUUUACUCAAUAAUAGUCAUUUUACUCUUUGCAUAAUAGGUACUGUUGUGUUUUUGUUUGCUUAUGCUCGAUCAUGACAAGUUUAUUACUGUGUGAAUAAAGUGGAUAGGAUGUAUGUGAAA
This is a long non-coding RNA of Lineus longissimus, 3344 nucleotides long. RefSeq lists it as uncharacterized. The transcript has 3 exons. NCBI's taxonomy places the organism in Eukaryota, Metazoa, Nemertea, Pilidiophora, Heteronemertea, Lineidae. The record is from RefSeq and is a predicted model, not a curated record.